GCCCAGCUAGCUCAGUUGGUAGAGCAUGGGACUCUUGCUAUCAGGAUCAUGGGUUUAAGCCCCAUGUUGGGCA
Pangasius djambal is the source of this 73-nucleotide non-coding RNA. NCBI's taxonomy places the organism in Eukaryota, Metazoa, Chordata, Actinopteri, Siluriformes, Pangasiidae. The record is from the annotation of a GenBank genome assembly.